Mesocricetus auratus (golden hamster) is the source of this 1706-nucleotide long non-coding RNA. RefSeq lists it as uncharacterized. The transcript is spliced from 5 exons. The record is from RefSeq and is a predicted model, not a curated record. NCBI's taxonomy places the organism in Eukaryota, Metazoa, Chordata, Mammalia, Rodentia, Cricetidae.
CAGCCUCCCACUGGCCAUCCCAAGACUCUUUUCCAGAGCCUGCUGCUAUGGAGUGUGGGCACCAUCUCUUGCAGAGAGGACAGACAGCCUGCUUGCUCCAGCCCACAUCACGUGCUUACUCCCUGGGAGCGAUGGGAGGAGGAGGGGAAGAGGCCAAUGAAACAGGGUCUGUGCUUCUCAUGUUGGGAAGAGAGCAUAUGAUUUGCUCUCCAACAUAGAUGACACAUAAUGGGAGAGGUAAUUUCCCAAAAGGAAGUCACUGAGCUGUUCAAAAGUGAUCUUAAUUAAGGGACUGUCAGCUGUAGUAACAGAUAAUCUGCCCAGUUCUCCUUAUUGGCUUAACAUGGGGAACAUUUAUUUCUCACUUACAUAAUAGUCCACUUUGGUUGGCUCUAAUUAAGAGGUUCAUUUUCAAGGACUCUGGAAUUCAAGUUCUUUCCAUUAAAGCUCUAUGUGUUAACACAGAACUUGCCAUACCCAUUCUGUGGGUCUCACAUCCCUAGGAGGUGUGUAAUGUUUCCCUUGGCCUUUUUAGAUGGAUGAAUGUAUUUCUGCUCACAUUCCAUUGGCUGGAACUCAGUCCCAGGGACUUGUCGAGGAGACUGGGAACUAUAACCUCCAACAGGACGAUUGUUUCUCACUAACACUACAAGCCAUGGAAGGAAGCAUGAACCUUUGGAGAUCAGUCUAGCUCUUCACUACAAAGGAGAGAAAGCUGGCAAUUGACAGAUCCCACCGGACUCAAUUUCCCUACUAUAAAAACGAAGAGGCUAGAGGAGAUGAUGUUGACAGCUCCUUCCAGCUUUGAAAUUCUCUUUGAUUCUGAGCCUACAGUAAACUGGAAGGUGAAGAUGAGACUAUCUCAAGAAGAUGAGUGUUGACUUCACACCCAAGAAUUCCCUGGGACAGCCAUGAGACCAUUAGGAAGGUGUCCUCUCAGAGUGGAGGAGCAUCCUUCUCGCUGCUUGCUGCUCAGGCUCGCUCGCUGUCCACUCAUCCUGGAGACCGUUCAUCUCAGCCUCAUAUCCACCAGAUGCUCUGUGGAGUUCUAGGACACCGACACUCUCAGUUGGAGGUGACCCUGAGAAGCCACAGAUCCAUUGGCAAUCUGAGGAAAGUAUGUUGAAAAAUCAGUUCCACCUUUCAGACAACCAAGUUGCUGUAUGUCCCCUUGUGGACUGACAUUGUCCUGGUUAUGGGAAUGCCUUCCUCUGCAAUGCCCCAUCACAUCGACAACUGCUUUCUGCAUUCUGAGGACAGUGUCUCAUCUUGUUAGAUGUGAGCUAACAGGGUCAAGCCUGCAACCAGAGAGACAGAAGCGAUCCUGUAGCAGUGGACAUCCCCAACACCCAGACCUCAUCUGCGCUGCUUUUCCCUCGGUGCCGUGGAUGGCUCCCACAAACUCUAGUUUGUCUCAGUCUCCAAGCUAAUAGAGUUAAACCAGCUGGUCAAUUUCAACAGGAGCAGAACCUGCGAGACGUUACUGUAUUCUGAGACAGUGCUAAUAAACUUUAAUAGAUUUCAGCUAACAAUUUGAUAUAAAUUAGACAUCGGGCUGCUGCUGAAGUAAUAACUUUUGGCACUAAAUAACAGGAAAUCAAGCGCCGUGAUGGGCUUCAAAACCACCUCCAUCGAGCCUCUGAGACACAGGCAGAUUUCACUAUUGAUUACCGCUUACUCUUCCCCAGGCUUUAAGAAAACAAUGA